AUACGUAGGGGGCGAGCGUUGUCCGGAAUUAUUGGGCGUAAAGGGCGCGUAGGCGGCCAAUCAAGUCUGAUGUGAAAGUGCGGGGCUUAACCCCGUAAAGCAUUGGAAACUGGUUGGCUUGAGUGCAGGAGAGGAAAGUGGAAUUCCUAGUGUAGCGGUGAAAUGCGUAGAUAUUAGGAGGAACACCAGUGGCGAAGGCGACUUUCUGGACUGUAACUGACGCUGAGGCGCGAAAGCGUGGGGAGCAAACAGGAUUAGAUACCCUGGUAGUCCACGCUGUAAACGAUGAGUGCUAGGUGUAGAGGGUAUCGACCCCUUCUGUGCCGCAGUUAACACAAUAAGCACUCCGCCUGGGGAGUACGGCCGCAAGGUUGAA
Molecule: ribosomal RNA, 376 nt
Filed under: uncultured bacterium
Lineage: Bacteria
Description: bacterial SSU rRNA
Rfam family: Bacterial small subunit ribosomal RNA
Source: RNAcentral